CAAUAGCGUAUAUUUAAGUUGCUGCAGUUAAAAAACUCGUAGUUGGAUUUCGGGUGGGAAUGGCCGGUCCGCCGUUUCGGUGUGCACUUGCUACGCCCACCUUGCUGCCGGGGACGUGCUCUUGAGUUCACGCUCGGGACACGGAGUCGGCGAGGUUACUUUGAGUAAAUUAGAGUGUUCAAAGCAGGCCUACGCUCUGAAUACAUUAGCAUGGAAUAACACGAUAGGACUCUGGCCUAUCUUGUUGGUCUGUAGGACCGGAGUAAUGAUUAAGAGGGACAGUCGGGGGCAUUCGUAUUUCAUUGUCAGAGGUGAAAUUCUUGGAUUUAUGAAAGACGAACUACUGCGAAAGCAUUUGCCAAGGAUGUUUUCAUUAA
This 377-nucleotide ribosomal RNA is filed under the name uncultured eukaryote. RNAcentral's name for it is "partial 18S ribosomal RNA". It matches the Rfam family "Eukaryotic small subunit ribosomal RNA", at positions 592 to 976 of the family's 1831-position model. The record is from RNAcentral.